This is a long non-coding RNA of Podarcis raffonei (Aeolian wall lizard), 233 nucleotides long. RefSeq lists it as uncharacterized. The record is from RefSeq and is a predicted model, not a curated record. NCBI's taxonomy places the organism in Eukaryota, Metazoa, Chordata, Lepidosauria, Squamata, Lacertidae. The transcript is spliced from 3 exons.
CACCCACCCCUUCCCAUUGUGCCCUGCCCCUCUUCAUGCAAGGAUUCAGGGACGUCCUGCGGUUCUCUUCAUGACUUUGAAGGCUGGACUUGGGGAAAACCUCAGCGGCUCCAGACAUCCUUGUAAGGCAAAGGCAACCAGGGACGUCCUGCGGUUCUCUUCAUGACUUUGAAGGCUGGACUUGGGGAAAACCUCAGCGGCUCCAGACAUCCCUGUAAGGCAAAGGCAAACAG